Molecule: long non-coding RNA, 1066 nt
Organism: Polyodon spathula (Mississippi paddlefish)
Lineage: Eukaryota; Metazoa; Chordata; Actinopteri; Acipenseriformes; Polyodontidae
Exons: 4
Source: RefSeq, a predicted model, not a curated record
GCAAAGCUCAGGUGUGUGCAAUGUUCUUCCACAUGUACAGAUACACUCUCUCGUCAAGUUUAUCUGCAUUGAGGCUGACUUCUGCUAAUAGUAAACAGACAUUGAAUUUUCCUGGAAUAAAAGAUUAAAGAACUACUAUAUAUUUUACCUAUCAAGACUUUCAUCACAAGUUCACUUCUGCAGGUGAACCUGAACUCCACUUUCAUGACUAAUGACAACAUUUUGAUCAAAGGCAAGGCCCAUUAUGAGGGCAAGAUAAUGACGUUGAUGCUAAGGAGGCUUUCUCCAUGGGGCUCCAGGGCUUUAAUAGAGUCCACCCUCCCCCUCCAACGCUGGCUUGUUGACAGCUCAACAGACAUGGCACCAUUCUCAGAAACAAGGAAUUAUAGUGAACUGCAAAGAAAUACAAGCAGUUGUUUGAAAAUAUUAAAAACAAUUAUUUGGAUUGGUUGCUGACUGCCAAAGCUUCCUUUAUGUUUGAAUUUGGUACCCAUGGUAUGAGUGAGAGGCAAAUCUCACCUUCUCUUCCUGUUUUAGACUUGCUCAGUACAGGAACUGUGCAUCACAUGACAAACUCCUUUGGCCAUGUGACUGCCUCUUGUGGUUUGAGUAGUCAUUACAUCAUCCCCACAGUAGACAACAAAACAACUUAUUUGUUUAUUUUGUUUUAAACCACUAAAGUUUUUGUUAUACCACAACAAAGUCUCAAAUUCCAUUGUGUAAAUUCCUUCUUAUAAUUUCAUUUUCGUAAUGUUUUCUGUGAAGCCAUAGUCUUCUAUUCAAUAAUGUCUAGUUGAGCAUUAGUGUAGAAGGCUGAUUCAAGGGUACAGCUAGGAGGAAGUCAUGUAGAUUCAUUUUCCAGCACAUUCUUUCAAUUUAUUUAUUUUUUAAUUUGGCUACUUCAAAAGCCACCUCUGUAGAGGAUGGUGUCAAAUCUGGCUCAGGACAAAAGUGAAUUAAAUGUGUUGGUCUCCAUAUCCAGGUGACACUAAUCCAUGUCACAAAGCCACCACACAAUUCGGUACAAUUUUUAGUUUUUGAUUGAGACCAGGGUCUGAUGGCAGGU